RNAcentral lists this ribosomal RNA (251 nucleotides) under Prymnesium parvum. RNAcentral's name for it is "partial Bacterial large subunit ribosomal RNA". It matches the Rfam family "Bacterial large subunit ribosomal RNA", at positions 756 to 1005 of the family's 2925-position model. Lineage: Eukaryota; Haptophyta; Prymnesiales; Prymnesiaceae. The record is from RNAcentral.
GUAACACCAACUGGAGGACCGAACCCGCAUCUGUUGCAAUAGAUUGGGAUGACUUGUGGCUAGGGGUGAAAGGCCAAUCAAACCGGGUAAUAGCUGGUUCUCCGCGAAAUCUAUUUAGGUAGAGCGUCGAUCGAAUACUCUUGGGGGUAGAGCACUGACUGGGCUAGGGGUCCUCACCGGAUUACCAAACCUUAUCAAACUCCGAAUACCAAGAAGUACUAAUCGGCAGACACACGGCGGGUGCUAACGUC